GAGAAGAUUUAUUUUUAAAUUUAUUAAUAUGGUUAUUGGUGUAGGGGUUAAAGAGGAAAGAAAUAUAAAAAGCGGUUUAAUAGUUAAAGAUAGGUUUAUUUUGGAUAAUAAAUUUGAGAGGGGUUUUUGGUUGAUUUUGGUUAGGAGUGUUGUUUUUUAUAGAUUAAGGGUGUUUAUUGGUUUUAGGGUGAUAAUGUUUAUUAUGGAUUUCGAAUAUUUUU
This 221-nucleotide unclassified non-coding RNA is filed under the name Hevea brasiliensis (rubber tree). The record is from RNAcentral. Lineage: Eukaryota; Viridiplantae; Streptophyta; Magnoliopsida; Malpighiales; Euphorbiaceae.